UCCCUGCUGGUCCAGUGGUUAGGACUCUGUGCUUCGAAUUCAGGGGGCUUGGGUUCGAUCACCAGUCAUGGAA
This 73-nucleotide transfer RNA is filed under the name Ovis aries (sheep). It matches the Rfam family "tRNA". Rfam says of the family: Transfer RNA (tRNA) molecules are approximately 80 nucleotides in length. Their secondary structure includes four short double-helical elements and three loops (D, anti-codon, and T loops). Further hydrogen bonds mediate the characteristic L-shaped molecular structure. tRNAs have two regions of fundamental functional importance: the anti-codon, which is responsible for specific mRNA codon recognition, and the 3' end, to which the tRNAs corresponding amino acid is attached (by aminoacyl-tRNA synthetases). tRNAs cope with the degeneracy of the genetic code in two manners: having more than one tRNA (with a specific anti-codon) for a particular amino acid; and 'wobble' base-pairing, i.e. permitting non-standard base-pairing at the 3rd anti-codon position. The record is from Rfam by way of RNAcentral. Lineage: Eukaryota; Metazoa; Chordata; Mammalia; Artiodactyla; Bovidae.